Bubalus bubalis (water buffalo) is the source of this 650-nucleotide non-coding RNA. The record is from the annotation of a RefSeq genome assembly. Lineage: Eukaryota; Metazoa; Chordata; Mammalia; Artiodactyla; Bovidae.
AUUUUAAGGUGAAAAUUUCUCAGCAGCAAGUCAAGGCAUCAUGAAGAGGCUGGUGGGCACUGUGCUGGGGCUUUGGUUUGCCUGGGUUUGCUGUGUGAGAGGGGUGGAUGUGGAGCAGAGUCCCCCAGCCCUGACUCCACAGGAGGGAGCCAGCUCUACACUGUGGUGUAAUUUCUCCACCUUGGCAGACAGUGUGCGGUGGUAUCUUCAGAAGCCCCGGGGCCGCCUCAUCCACCUCAUUUACAUUCCUUCAGGAACGAGGCAGGAAGGAAGAUUAAAUGCCACGACAGUCCUUAAAGAACGCCGCAGCUCACUGCACGUUUCCUCUUUGCGGACCACAGACUCAGGCACUUACUUCUGUGCUGUGCAGCACUGUGCUCCCCGGGCACCUGCAGCCUGUACUCAAACCCUCCGCGGGGCUCAGCCCCUCCUCCAGCCACAGUCACACUGUGAGGCCACCACAGGGCAUUUGCAGUGCUUCUUAUUGGCCUUACAGAUUUGAGACUUUGGUCUUUAUCUUCCUCUCAAUCUGUAUCUUCUUCUGCGCUAGAGUCUCAAACUUGUAGCUAGGAGAGGUCUAUUGAUAGAUAAGAAAGUGAAAGUGAAAGGCGCUCAGUCGGGUCCGACUCUUUGCGACCCCAUGGACUAUA